RNAcentral lists this long non-coding RNA (265 nucleotides) under Trifolium pratense (red clover). RNAcentral's name for it is "long non-coding RNA (TPRA_LNC008985)". Lineage: Eukaryota; Viridiplantae; Streptophyta; Magnoliopsida; Fabales; Fabaceae. The record is from RNAcentral.
AAGAGUGCAGAACAUAUUUCUAUCUCCCCCUCAUAAAGACAAUUAUAUAUGAGACGAAGAAAAUCAAAUAAUCUUAUGUAGUUGUAGUAGUUGCUCAAAAGUUUUACUUGAAGCUGACUUUGUAGAAAGACAUGUCUUAUCUUCUUUAUCAUAUAAUCUUCUCCAAAUAUGUAGUUUGUGCGACAUUAUCUUCAUAUUGAAUCGUUGCAAGAACCCUUUAGAAGAAAACUCACAAACUCUUGUAUCUGAUGAAUGACACACUUCA